UCCACGACGCCCCCGUUCCUGUCUUCGUCUUCCUCCAACGAUCUACUGCCCACCCACUUCUAUUCACGACUCGCAAAAAAUCUCCUUCCUCUCCUGAUCCACCACCUUCGCCGACGCCUCGCCUCGCCUCGCCGCCGAUAUUUGUUUGCCCUCCUCGCUCCUCGCCUCCGCCGGCCGACCGAUUGCAUGCCAUCUCCUCCCAUCCCUCCUCGAAAAAGCCGACUAUAUGCGAUGCCCUUCUCAUGCUUGUUUGAUUCCUAGGGCUAGGUGCAUGCCCAUGACACUUGCAUCCAACCACCAGGUCAAUUUUUGUUGGUUUCCAUCAACAACAAAGAAAGUUGCCCCCCCCCCCCCCCCCCUUUUGCGUUGAGCGUCUUACACAUUGCUCCUUUUGACCUACUCCAUCGAUAUUUGUUGCGGCGACGAUUGCCUUGUACGAAGAUGACCAUGCCCAUCACAGGCAUUGCUGCACCUUGCCCUGGCCACCUAUGAAUUGAAAUGGCAAAGUGCAAGGAGCAAUCAUUAAGCCACACGCUCAUCAGGAUGUGGCUUCCCAUUCAUUCCCAGGAGUCAUGUUCAACUUGUUUCGUUCUUCCUUGAAAGAAAGGCUGAAUGAAAGAUGCAUGGCAUUUACAGGUUGGUGCCAUUGAGAUUGAUGAUGCCGAUGUUGUUACCCCCCAAAAGCGGAAGGCGCCGAAAGCCGAGACGUGGAAGCAUUAUGUAGAAAGGCAAGAUGAGCCUGAGUUGUGUGUUUUUCUUUGUUCGCUGGUAGUUGUGGCAGUGUGACAAAUGAUAUUGC
Long non-coding RNA from Triticum aestivum (bread wheat), 799 nucleotides. RefSeq lists it as uncharacterized. The transcript is spliced from 3 exons. The record is from RefSeq and is a predicted model, not a curated record. Lineage: Eukaryota; Viridiplantae; Streptophyta; Magnoliopsida; Poales; Poaceae.